This is a long non-coding RNA of Saccostrea cuccullata (small rock oyster), 1433 nucleotides long. RefSeq lists it as uncharacterized. The transcript is spliced from 3 exons. The record is from RefSeq and is a predicted model, not a curated record. NCBI's taxonomy places the organism in Eukaryota, Metazoa, Mollusca, Bivalvia, Ostreida, Ostreidae.
AAAUUGUCCAGAUAUGACGCACAUAUUGUGGUUGCAACAUCGAGAUGCAAUCGAUUUUGAUGCAAGGUUGUGUGACCAAAUUUAUGAAAAUGAGAUGCGUAACAGACAAAUAAGCCAUAAUCAUAAAAUUUAUGUUACCUGAAUCUGAGAGGCAAUGACUUUGUAUCGAAAUAGAUCUUUAAUCGUCAGCAAAACUUACAUAUAACUGAAAUUUGCAGACAGAGCUUUUUGGACUACUUCCUUUGUUCAACUACAAGUGAUAGGUGAAUUUCUGACAAAGGAAUAACAGAAUUUAGAGAUUUGAUCAACCACCAUACACCACGUGUUAAUCAAGUUUGCUGGGUCAGUAAUACCAGACGCUAUACUAAAGACUUCUUUUAUUAAUUAGAGCAUAAUAAUGUUAGUGCUAAUUAGCUAAAUGUUUUUUUCUUGCAUCACACCAAACUCUGUUUAUUGUCUUUGUCACGGGCAGUGUGUUGUUUGUUGAUUUUUUGUGUAACAUGUGUUAAUUAAAAACAACUGUUUGUCUUCUCUUUGCCAGGAUAUUUCUUACGAUGACUGGGAUGUGUUGUCGACAUUAAGGCGUCACCGGGAGGGUAAAUUACGUGUAUAUUCCACGAAACAUAGGACUUUUAGAAAUAUUGAGAAGAUGCAACACAGGGCGUGACGAACAACAGACAAAGUUGGCUUUGAUAUCUGUAAAGAAUCCCACGCCUGUGUCUAGUGGUACAUUAAUAAGACAGUGUAUCGUAGGCAUUAUAUACUGUAAAGAGUACAACGAAUAUUCAUGUAAAAGCAUACAUUUUGUAACAAAAUUACGGUUACAUGUGUUAUUAGUUUACUCUAUAUAUGACAAUUGUUCCUUGAAGAUACAUAAUUAUGAAUACUGUCAUUAUAAUUACUAACGCAAUUUUUUAAAGAAAGUUAAAAUAAAUUGUUAUCCUUGUCCGACCGUCAAAUUUUCUCCUUCUUGAUAUUCUUCUAAGUAUUACAAGCAAUGUUGUAACCAGUUUAUCAUUUGGAAUAAUAUAUAUAAGGUAGUGUCAUUUACAUAUGCAAAGGGGUUUUCUCGGUCAUCCUGAUGGUCAAAUACAAGUUUAAAAAAAAAUGUUUUCUUACAAAAUCCUGAUUCACAAACCUAUUUUGACAUUUUAUAUAAUUUUCGAAUCAUAUUUUGACUAAGAUGAUUGAUAGUGUACAUGACCUGUUGGUGUGUAAUGAGGUUUCGAAAAUUGUACGUUCACCUUGGGACUCAAAUGGUGAUCAAAGAACGACAUUUUUUUCCACAACAUUCAACUCAAUCUGGGCAAUAAGGUUAAAUUUCGGAAUUUUCAUUUCUUUUAACUUGUUAGAUACAUGUUAUAUGUGGAUUCAAAAGUGUGUUUUUCAUUAUAAUCUGGCCAAAAUUCAAUGAUUAAUUUAAUAAAAACUUA